AUUGAACGCUGGCGGAAUGCUUUACACAUGCAAGUCGAACGGCAGCACAGGUGCUUGCACCUGGUGGCGAGUGGCGAACGGGUGAGUAAUGCAUCGGAACGUACCGUGUAGUGGGGGAUAACGCAUCGAAAGGUGUGCUAAUACCGCAUACGUCCUGAGGGAGAAAGUGGGGGAUCGCAAGACCUCACGCUAUACGAGCGGCCGAUGUCCGAUUAGCUAGUUGGUGAGGUAAAGGCUUACCAAGGCGACGAUCGGUAGCUGGUCUGAGAGGACGACCAGCCACACUGGGACUGAGACACGGCCCAGACUCCUACGGGAGGCAGCAGUGGGGAAUUUUGGACAAUGGGCGAAAGCCUGAUCCAGCCAUUCCGCGUGAGUGAAGAAGGCCUUCGGGUUGUAAAGCUCUUUUGUUAGGGAGGAAAUCCUAGUGGCUAAUAUCCAUUGGGGAUGACAGUACCUAAAGAAUAAGGACCGGCUAACUACGUGCCAGCAGCCGCGGUAA
RNAcentral lists this ribosomal RNA (502 nucleotides) under uncultured bacterium. RNAcentral's name for it is "partial 16S ribosomal RNA". It matches the Rfam family "Bacterial small subunit ribosomal RNA", at positions 30 to 523 of the family's 1533-position model. The record is from RNAcentral.